AGAGUUCAAAGUGUGAUCUGCUAAACAAACGUGACGGUAACUAUAACAGAUUUUUGGCACAAAAGAAAAUUGAAUGAAUGGAGAAGAAGCUUUACAGUAAUAAUUAUACCACCGGAAUGCCUGAGAAAAUAAGACAGUCUUAGGAGACUGGGCUAUUUAACUUCUUGAAUGAGGUAAUCUCACGUAUAAGAAACCACGAAGCAUGAAGAAACACUUAUCCUCGAAGCCUUCCAGAUUCCAGCCUUACAAGUCGACCAUGCCAAGCGGACGCACAGUAGACGCUGGCUUGCCUGUCGCCGCCGGCGUUCUCAGCGUUCCCCCAGCCUACAAGUUUCCCGCGCUGAUUUAGCACACCGCUCCCACUGUUUCGUUUUGUUUUCUUCAGACAUUUGUCCUCUAAAAAUGUCUCUUAUUUGCAAAGGAAGCCCAUCGAGAGGGUUAUGGUAAUCUCUGUUCCUGAUUAAAAUGUUUCUGCUCAGUC
This is a long non-coding RNA of Psammomys obesus (fat sand rat), 481 nucleotides long. RefSeq lists it as uncharacterized. Lineage: Eukaryota; Metazoa; Chordata; Mammalia; Rodentia; Muridae. The transcript has 2 exons. The record is from RefSeq and is a predicted model, not a curated record.